This 783-nucleotide ribosomal RNA is filed under the name uncultured bacterium. RNAcentral's name for it is "bacterial SSU rRNA". It matches the Rfam family "Archaeal small subunit ribosomal RNA", at positions 118 to 903 of the family's 1478-position model. The record is from RNAcentral.
GGACGGGAAUAACCUCGGGAAACUGAGUAUAAUGCCCGAUAGAACACUAUACCUGGAAUGGUUUGUGUUCCAAAUGAUUAUCGCCGUAGGAUGGGACUGCGGCCUAUCAGUUUGUUGGUGAGGUAAUGGCCCACCAAGACUAUUACAGGUACGGGCUCUGAGAGGAGUAGCCCGGAGAUGGGUACUGAGACACGGACCCAGGCCCUAUGGGGCGCAGCAGGCGAGAAAACUUUGCAAUGUGCGAAAGCACGACAAGGUUAAUCCGAGUGGUUUGUGCUAAACGAACCUUUUGACAGUCCUAGAAACACUGUUGAAUAAGGGGUGGGCAAGUUCUGGUGUCAGCCGCCGCGGUAAAACCAGCACCUCAAGUGGUCAGGAUGAUUAUUGGGCCUAAAGCAUCCGUAGCCGGCUCUGUAAGUUUUCGGUUAAAUCUGUACGCUCAACGUACAGGCUGCCGGGAAUACUGCAGAGCUAGGGAGUGGGAGAGGUAGACGGUACUCGGUAGGAAGGGGUAAAAUCCUUUGAUCUAUUGAUGACCACCUGUGGCGAAGGCGGUCUACCAGAACACGUCCGACGGUGAGGGAUGAAAGCUGGGGGAGCAAACCGGAUUAGAUACCCGGGUAGUCCCAGCUGUAAACUAUGCAAACUCAGUGAUGCAUUGGCUUGUGGCCAAUGCAGUGCUGCAGGGAAGCCGUUAAGUUUGCCGCCUGGGAAGUACGUACGCAAGUAUGAAACUUAAAGGAAUUGGCGGGGGAGCACCACAAGGGGUGAAGCCUGCGGUUC